ACGGGGUGCAGCAGGCGCGAAACCUUCACAAUGUGCGAAAGCGCGAUGAGGGGAUCCCAAGUGCUUGCUCGUAAGAGUAAGCUGUUUUUAUGUCUAAAACGCAUAGAGGGUAAGGGCUGGGUAAGACGGGUGCCAGCCGCCGCGGUAAUACCUGCAGCUCAAGUGGUGACCGCUAUUAUUGGGCCUAAAACAUUCGUAGCCGGUUAGGUAAACGCCUGGGUAAAUCGUGUAGCUUAACUAUACGAAUUCCGGGUAGACUGCCAAACUUGAGACCGGGAGAAGCUAGAGGUACUCCUUGGGUAGAGGUGAAAUUCUGUAAUCCUAGGGGGACCACCAGUGGCGAAGGCGUCUAGCUAGAACGGGUUUGACGGUGAGGAAUGAAGCCCUGGGGCGCAAACCGGAUUAGAUACCCGGGUAGUCCAGGGUGUAAACGCUGCUUGCUUGAUGUUAGUUGGGCUCCGAGCCCAAUUAGUGUCGGAGAGAAGUUGUUAAGCAAGCUGCCUGGAAGUACGAUCGCAAGA
RNAcentral lists this ribosomal RNA (521 nucleotides) under uncultured archaeon. RNAcentral describes it as "bacterial SSU rRNA". It matches the Rfam family "Archaeal small subunit ribosomal RNA", at positions 325 to 848 of the family's 1478-position model. The record is from RNAcentral.